GACGAACGCUGGCGGCGUGCUUAACACAUGCAAGUCGAACGGAAAGGCCCUGCUUUUGUGGGGUGCUCGAGUGGCGAACGGGUGAGUAACACGUGAGUAACCUGCCCUUGACUUUGGGAUAACUUCAGGAAACUGGGGCUAAUACCGGAUAGGAGCUCCUGCUGCAUGGUGGGGGUUGGAAAGUUUCGGCGGUUGGGGAUGGACUCGCGGCUUAUCAGCUUGUUGGUGGGGUAGUGGCUUACCAAGGCUUUGACGGGUAGCCGGCCUGAGAGGGUGACCGGCCACAUUGGGACUGAGAUACGGCCCAGACUCCUACGGGAGGCAGCAGUGGGGAAUAUUGCACAAUGGGCGGAAGCCUGAUGCAGCAACGCCGCGUGCGGGAUGACGGCCUUCGGGUUGUAAACCGCUUUCGCCUGUGACGAAGCGUGAGUGACGGUAAUGGGUAAAGAAGCACCGGCUAACUACGUGCCAGCAGCCGCGGUGAUACGUAGGGUGCGAGCGUUGUCCGGAUUUAUUGGGCGUAAAGGGCUCGUAGGUGGUUGAUCGCGUCGGAAGUGUAAUCUUGGGGCUUAACCCUGAGCGUGCUUUCGAUACGGGUUGACUUGAGGAAGGUAGGGGAGAAUGGAAUUCCUGGUGGAGCGGUGGAAUGCGCAGAUAUCAGGAGGAACACCAGUGGCGAAGGCGGUUCUCUGGGCCUUUCCUGACGCUGAGGAGCGAAAGCGUGGGGAGCGAACAGGCUUAGAUACCCUGGUAGUCCACGCUGUAAACGGUGGGUACUAGGUGUGGGGUCCAUUCCACGGGUUCCGUGCCGUAGCUAACGCUUUAAGUACCCCGCCUGGGGAGUACGGCCGCAAGGCUAAAACUCAAAGGAAUUGACGGGGCCCCGCACAAGCGGCGGAGCAUGCGGAUUAAUUCGAUGCAACGCGUAGAACCUUACCUGGGUUUGACAUGGAUCGGGAGUGCUCAGAGAUGGGUGUGCCUCUUUUGGGGUCGGUUCACAGGUGGUGCAUGCCUGUCGUCAGCUCGUGUCGUGAAAUGUUGGGUUAAGUCCCGCAACGAGCGCAACCCUUGUUCACUGUUGCCAGCACGUUAUGGUGGGGACUCAGUGGAGACCGCCGGGGUCAACUCGGAGGAAGGUGGGGAUGACGUCAAGUCCUCAUGCCCCUUAUGUCCAGGGCUUCACGCAUGCUACAAUGGCUGGUACAGAGAGUGGCGAGCCUGUGAGGGUGAGCGAAUCUCGGAAAGCCGGUCUCAGUUCGGAUUGGGGUCUGCAACUCGACCUCAUGAAGUCGGAGUCGCUAGUAAUCGCAGAUCAGCAACGCUGCGGUGAAUACGUUCCCGGGGCU
This 1346-nucleotide ribosomal RNA is filed under the name uncultured bacterium. Its description in RNAcentral is "bacterial SSU rRNA". It matches the Rfam family "Bacterial small subunit ribosomal RNA", at positions 28 to 1381 of the family's 1533-position model. The record is from RNAcentral.